Molecule: ribosomal RNA, 460 nt
Filed under: uncultured bacterium
Lineage: Bacteria
Description: partial 16S ribosomal RNA
Rfam family: Bacterial small subunit ribosomal RNA
Source: RNAcentral
CCUACGUGAGGCAGCAGUGAGGAAUAUUGGUCAAUGGGCGCGAGCCUGAACCAGCCAAGUAGCGUGAAGGAUGACUGCCCUACGGGUUGUAAACUUCUUUUAUAAAGGAAUAAAGUGAGGCACGUGUGCCUUUUUGUAUGUACUUUAUGAAUAAGGAUCGGCUAACUCCGUGCCAGCAGCCGCGGUAAUACGGAGGAUCCGAGCGUUAUCCGGAUUUAUUGGGUUUAAAGGGAGCGUAGAUGGGUUGUUACGUCAGUUGUGAAAGUUUGCGGCUCAACCGUAAAAUUGCAAUUGAUACUGGCAGUCUUGAGUACAGUUGAGGUAGGCGGAAUUCGUGGUGUAGCGGUGAAAUGCUUAGAUAUCACGAAGAACUCCGAUUGCGAAGGCAGCUUACUAAACUGCCACUGACAUUGAUGCUCGAAAGUGUGGGUAUCAAACAGGAUUAGAUACCCCAGUAGUC